Molecule: non-coding RNA, 66 nt
Organism: Podarcis lilfordi (Lilford's wall lizard)
Lineage: Eukaryota; Metazoa; Chordata; Lepidosauria; Squamata; Lacertidae
Source: the annotation of a GenBank genome assembly
UGGAUAGGUCAGUCGGUAGAACAUGAGACUCAUAUUCUCAGGGUUCGAGCCCCACAUUGGGCAAAA